CAGUAGCCGCGGUAAUACGUAGGUGGCAAGCGUUGUCCGGGAUUAUUGGGCGUAAAGGGCUCGCAGGCGGUUUCUUAAGUCUGAUGUGAAAGCCCCCGGCUCAACCGGGGAGGGUCAUUGGAAACUGGGAAACUUGAGUGCAGAAGAGGAGAGUGGAAUUCCACGUGUAGCGGUGAAAUGCGUAGAGAUGUGGAGGAACACCAGUGGCGAAGGCGACUCUCUGGUCUGUAACUGGCGCUGAGGAGCGAAAGCGUUGGGAGCGAACAGGAUUAGAUACCCCCGUAGUCCCUGUCUCUUAUAC
RNAcentral lists this ribosomal RNA (301 nucleotides) under uncultured bacterium. RNAcentral's name for it is "partial 16S ribosomal RNA". It matches the Rfam family "Bacterial small subunit ribosomal RNA", at positions 509 to 807 of the family's 1533-position model. The record is from RNAcentral.